This 576-nucleotide long non-coding RNA is filed under the name Chrysolophus pictus (golden pheasant). Its description in RNAcentral is "lncRNA (ENSCPIG00010007579.1)". Lineage: Eukaryota; Metazoa; Chordata; Aves; Galliformes; Phasianidae. The record is from RNAcentral.
CGGGGUCCCAGUGGAGCCAAGGGAGACCUGGGAGCCAAAGGAGGCAAGGGUCUGCGUGGAGCACCAGGAGCUGCGGGUCCCCCGGGGCUGCGGGGUCAGAUGGGCUCAUUGGGCUUCCCAGGACCCCGCGGGGCAGCAGGACCCCGAGGACCUGAGGGAGAAGAAGGGCAGAUGGGUCCAGUGGGGCUGAACAGCAGUGAAGGACCGAAGGGUCGUGGGGGCCAGCGUGGGCUGGUUGGAGUCCCAGGACCUCCUGGCUCAAGAGGCAUCCCUGGAGCAGAAGGCACAGAAGGAAAGCCUGGUAUACAGGUUCCCAUUCUACACUACAUCCUAUAUAUUGUAUACAGACCUGCCUGCACGUGGCUGAGGUUGCAGGGAUGGGAUGGGAUGGAAUGGCUGCCCGUGCCUCUCCAUCCUCACCACCCCCUGCUUUACCCUGCAGGGUCCCCCCGGGGCUGUGGGCAGCCCAGGCAGGAUGGGAGCACCGGGCUUUGUUGGUGUGCAGGGGGGCAGAGGGCACGCAGGACCUCCUGGACCCACAGUAAGGACAACCUGCACGGAUCCCCCCCCUUUUCC